This is a small nucleolar RNA of Macaca fascicularis (crab-eating macaque), 134 nucleotides long. Its record names the gene SNORA70. It matches the Rfam family "Small nucleolar RNA SNORA70". From Rfam's summary of the family: snoRNA U70 seems to be exclusive to mammals and is a member of the H/ACA class of snoRNA which contain H (ANANNA) and ACA box motifs. H/ACA box snoRNAs are involved in the conversion of uridines to pseudouridines (5-ribosyluracil) a constituent of structural RNAs (transfer, ribosomal, small nuclear, and small nucleolar). Lineage: Eukaryota; Metazoa; Chordata; Mammalia; Primates; Cercopithecidae. The record is from Ensembl.
CUGCAGCCAAUUAAGCUGACUGAGUUCCUUUCCUCAUGGCGGCCCAGUGUGCAAUGGCUGCAAACAGCAGCUUCCCUGGUAGUGAUGCAGCCUGUUUGUUGUAUGUAUUGCUCUAAGGGACCUUGGAGACAGUC